CAGUCGAGCGAGUCUGCCUUGAAGAUCGGAGUGCUUGCACUCUGUGAAACAAGAUACAGGCUAGCGGCGGACGGGUGAGUAACACGUGGGUAACCUGCCCAAGAGAUCGGGAUAACACCUGGAAACAGAUGCUAAUACCGGAUAAUAACAGAUGACGCCUAUCAACUGUUUAAAAGAUGGUUCUGCUAUCACUCUUGGAUGGACCUGCGGUGCAUUAGCUAGUUGGUAGGGUAACGGCCUACCAAGGCGAUGAUGCAUAGCCGAGUUGAGAGACUGAUCGGCCACAUUGGGACUGAGACACGGCCCAAACUCCUACGGGAGGCAGCAGUAGGGAAUCUUCCACAAUGGACGCAAGUCUGAUGGAGCAACGCCGCGUGAGUGAAGAAGGGUUUCGGCUCGUAAAGCUCUGUUGUUGGUGAAGAAGGACAGGGGUAGUAACUGACCUUUGUUUGACGGUAAUCAAUUAGAAAGUCACGGCUAACUACGUGCCAGCAGCCGCGGUAAUACGUAGGUGGCAAGCGUUGUCCGGAUUUAUUGGGCGUAAAGCGAGUGCAGGCGGUUCGAUAAGUCUGAUGUGAAAGCCUUCGGCUCAACCGGAGAAUUGCAUCAGAAACUGUCGAGCUUGAGUACAGAAGAGGAGAGUGGAACUCCAUGUGUAGCGGUGAAAUGCGUAGAUAUAUGGAAGAACACCGGUGGCGAAGGCGGCUCUCUGGUCUGUUACUGACGCUGAGGCUCGAAAGCAUGGGUAGCG
RNAcentral lists this ribosomal RNA (751 nucleotides) under uncultured bacterium. Its description in RNAcentral is "bacterial SSU rRNA". It matches the Rfam family "Bacterial small subunit ribosomal RNA", at positions 59 to 770 of the family's 1533-position model. The record is from RNAcentral.